Non-coding RNA from Caenorhabditis elegans, 274 nucleotides. Lineage: Eukaryota; Metazoa; Nematoda; Chromadorea; Rhabditida; Rhabditidae. The record is from Ensembl.
AUGAUGACAUACGCAUAAAGAUGACGAAAGAUGAAUGGGGUCGGUCGUCAGACCAGAUGCGAUCGCCAGAUAAAACUUGGUUGUGUUGCAACUGUGUGGGUGGUCUCUCUCACUCUCGGUGCGACGACGUUGGCGAACAAAAGUAUAGUGAACAUCUCAUAUCGAGUACAAAAACCAAACAAAGUGGCGUCAGACAUCGUGAAAAUAGAAAUAGACGAGAUCAAGAUAAGAAGUGUAUUUUUAAAGAUCAUUUGUAGUCGACACACACCCACGU